Triticum dicoccoides is the source of this 2492-nucleotide RNA transcript. RefSeq lists it as uncharacterized. Lineage: Eukaryota; Viridiplantae; Streptophyta; Magnoliopsida; Poales; Poaceae. The transcript has 2 exons. The record is from RefSeq and is a predicted model, not a curated record.
UCACACCCCGUCCCCUCCAUUGACCAUUUCCCUUUUCCCCAUCCCCUCGUCGACUUAUCUCUCUCCCCGGCGGUUUUCCGGUGAUGCUUGCUGCGGCGGCGGCGGCGGGGGCUCUCUCCAGUGGAUCGUGAAGCUCGGCGGCGGGGGCAGUUAUCGUCAUGGCCGUCAGGACCCUCGCCGCCGCCAAGGCCAUGCACCAGGCCGUCCUCGCCGAGACCCAAGGCCGCCAGCAUCGACCUCUCCUUCCAUCGCCUCCGUCCGCAAGUUCGCCGCCGACUUCGCCGCCAGAGGCCUCUCGCUCGGCAUCCUCGUGCUCAUAUAAGCAAGCAUGAUGCAGUUAUGAUCUGGGCAACCGCAGAUAAGUAGUGGUAACUAUGUUUGUAAAUCAAAACUCUUUCACUGCUCGUGAUAAUCUGCAGAACAACUUCAAGUUCAUAAGUCGCAGAGCAAAUUCAAGUUGUGGCAAACAAAAGUUCUGUCUAUUUUGCACUGCUGAAUUCAUGUCUUUUAUUAUCAACUAAAAGCCUGAUCCUUCUGGGAGAUGCAAUGUAUUUAAAAAGUUCACUGAAUCAUCAAACUAUUUCUGGUCAAACAAUCCUUAUUUUGCAGCUUGCCAGCUGAAACAUAUACAGACCUCAAGGCGGCAACUGACGCAUGCCCAUGUCUGAAGUCUGAACCGUGUUGUUUUCAGAAAUGCUGCAGUGUAUGGAGUUUGUGUUUAAGCUCCUUAUCCCACUGGUCUAGAGCUCUAUUCCCAUUAGCUUAUUUAGAUUCCUCAAAUGCAGAAUUCAGGUCAGGUAAGCGCACAUAAUUGCUACAAGUUUAGACCAUCUUGUGUACGGUCAGUUCCAUUGUCGUCAUAUGUGGCUGCUGUUCGGUUUUGGCUUGGUGGUUCCUUGUUCUUAGUUCGACUAUUGGAAUUAUCUCUAGCAUACAUCUUGUUGUUCGAAUGUUGCAUAUUGAUGGUACCCUGUACUUAUGCAUUUAGAAACUACAAGUAUGUGUUAUCUGAAUUAUUAUUAUUUCGCAUUACAACAUUGCAAUCUGUGGAUUAACCUUUUUGUAGUGACGAGUUAAUUGCCUGUCCGUUGCCCGUGCGUUGCAACGUAGCCUUUUUGAAUCUUCAACCAUGAUCUCUCACGCCUCUACAUGUUGCGCUCUCUCACUGUUCCCCUUCUUCAACACUUCUUACCAUUUACUCUUUUGUGUAAACACUUCUUACAGUGUCAAUGUUCAUGAUAGUGUGGAGUAGUCAUAUUUUUCCUUGAAAUCUAAGUCCAGUCUGUCUGUCUUGUUGCCAACUGAAUUUACAGUAUCUAAGUGGUCUCUAAAUUCUGCAGUAUUUAUGUUCAUGACUUACUGAACUAUGUUAUCUUUUUUAACAGUGCCUUGUUCUAAAUAGUUGUAUUUUAGCUCCAUAGCUCUGUGUAAUUUGUCCCUUGAUUUUUUGCCACCUCUGAUUUUUUUCUGUUCCUGUGCUUGCUACUCCUUAAUUCACACAUGUACAGGAGGCACAAGAGGUUAAAUUGAAUCUAACCCUCCAAUUUUAUAUGUUUUGAUCUCAUUUCUGAAUUCCUGUUGUUAUUUUAUCUCAAACAAGUACCCAGAUUUAUAAAGAUCUAGUGAGCAUUGCCAAUGUUGGAGAGCGAGUGAUCUGAAUAGGUUUAUGUGAUUGAUCUGCAUUAACUUUUCUCUCUAACCUUUUUUACAGUACAAAAUGAUAAUGAUUUACAGAUUGCAGUAGUUGUCUUUUUAGUGCAAACUCUGUACUUGUUAAUCAUUCAAGUCUGAACUUGUCUGACAGUUUCGGACUUUCUUCUGUAGUUUCGUUGACUAUGCAUGAAUCCCAUCAUUUAGUUGUAUUUUUUACUGCUAUACACGAAGGCGAUAUGAAAUGCUGGACUUUGAUCCAAAAGCUAUUCAUGAAGAUCUUCAAUAACCGCAAUAGCAACGCCGAUUUAUAAUCUGAAACAAUCUAGAGUGUGUCCUGAAGCUAGUGAUUAUCCUGUUCUAUUUGAUAUCUGCAACAAUCAAGAGUGCACGGUUGCCCGUUUUGUUGCUGAUGGGUGUUCCCUGACCCUGAGCUUCAGGCAACGGCUUACCCUUGCCCUUUCUGAUCAGUGCAACAGGAUCGUGCUCGGUGCUAGAGCUUUGACAUUGAACAAUUCUUCUGAUAGUGUGUCCUGAAGCCUGAAUAAAUUGGGCAAGUUUACGACUAGAUCUGUUCACAAGUUGUUGGAAAAGCCUUUGGCUGGUGCACAUAAUGGGUGGGUCUGGAAAGCCCCCAUCCCUCUUAAAAUCAAAAUCCAUGUGUGGCAGUUGUUUAGAAAUGCUAUAUUAACUCGAGAUAAUCUAAAACUAGAAAUUGGCUGGGUGACCCUCUGUGUUCUUUUUGCAAGUUGCUGAAGAUGUUCAACACUUGUUUUUUGGUUGUGGGGUAGAGUGAUAGGUACUGAGAGCAGUCCUACAAACUUGUGGCGAAGUUUUGCUUG